AUAACAAUAGUAAUUUUUGUAUUAAGUGCGCGAAAUGAGUGUUUUUUUAAUGGCGCCUGAGAAUGUUAUUUUAGUCGAGACCGCCAGGUCGAGACCUAAAAGACAUUCGAAGGCGCCAUUAAAACAUGAAUUUCGCCACGAAAUACAAACAACGUUUUUUCUACAGCCUCCAGAUGAAGAAAAAAGUAACAGAAAUUAGUUGGAACAAAAUGGUCUGAUAAAUCGAGUUGCUUGCAUGGUUACGAUGAUAAAUAAAAGUGAUAGUUGCGAAAAAUUUGUCACAAUAGGUAUUUUUGUUGAAGAAGUGUGAUGGAUUUUAGCAGCGAAAACGAAAUAGAUGCAAUUGCAAGCGCGGCAGUGUCGAAUCUUUUGCCUGCUAAAUCAAGACCGCAGUACGAAAAAACGUAUCUUCAGUUUCGGCAGUGGUGUUCUAUGAAAAAGAUUGAUCAAGUAACGGAAAAUGUUUUGUUGGCGUAUUUGGAAGAAAAGUCUACCACCUUAAAGCCACCAACACUCUGGGCCCUUUAUGCGAUGUUGAAAGCCACCUUAAACGUUAAAGAGAAUAUCGAUACACAAGCAAGAAGUCGCAAAUUUUAGACAAAGAAGACAUUAGCAAGUUUAUUAAUGAAGCAGAUGACAAGAUAUAUUUACUGAUGAAGGUAAACUUAUCAUAUUAGUGUAAUACAAAUCAAAACAACUCGUUUUAUUUAUAGACUGUGCUAAUUUUGGGUAUAUCGGGAGCCCUUCGACGUGAAGAAUUAGUUAAAAUGAAGCUAACUGACAUAGAAGAUAAACAGUCUGUCUUAAUUGUGAAGGUGCCUGAUACAAAAACCCACUGCGAACGAAUAUUUACUGUUUCAAAUUUAGAAAAUAUAGAAAUUGUCAGAAAAUAUAGAGCUUUGCGGCCUCCACGGGCGACUAGUGACCGUUUAUUUUUAAAGUAUACCAACGGAAAAUGUGUGAAUCAAAAUGUUGGAAUUAACAAAAUCGGAGAGAUACCAAGUUUGAUUGCAAAGUGGCUUAACAAAGACGAACCUAAAAAAUAUACUGGUCACUGCUUCAGAAGAAGCUCUGCCACUCUUUUGGCGAAUGCUGGAGGUGAUCUAAUUUCAAUUAAACGUCAUGGGGGCUGGAGAAGCAGCACAGUGGCAGAAAGUUACAUCGAGGACUCUUUGAAUAAUAAAAUUGAAAUUGCCAAUAAAAUUCAACCUUCUUCCUCCACAGAAGAAAACAAAAUCACUCAACCUUCUACAUCGGCUUCUUUUAAUGGCGAAAAUAACUUUCAUUUACAAGCGUCUUCACUCAGGCCUCUGGGGAUAAACGGGGGCACGUUUUCGUCAUGCACAUUUAAUUUUCAUAUGUCAAAGUAAAUAUCUAUUAUUAUUGUUUUGUAAUAUUGUUCUGUAUAAUUAUAAAACCUUUAAAACUA
This is an RNA transcript of Tribolium castaneum (red flour beetle), 1429 nucleotides long. RefSeq lists it as uncharacterized. The record is from RefSeq and is a predicted model, not a curated record. Lineage: Eukaryota; Metazoa; Arthropoda; Insecta; Coleoptera; Tenebrionidae. The transcript has 2 exons.